RNAcentral lists this ribosomal RNA (476 nucleotides) under Neisseria shayeganii. Its description in RNAcentral is "bacterial SSU rRNA". It matches the Rfam family "Bacterial small subunit ribosomal RNA", at positions 9 to 474 of the family's 1533-position model. The record is from RNAcentral. Lineage: Bacteria; Pseudomonadati; Pseudomonadota; Betaproteobacteria; Neisseriales; Neisseriaceae.
GAGUUUGAUCAUGGCUCAGAUUGAACGCUGGCGGCAUGCUUUACACAUGCAAGUCGGACGGCAGCACAAAGAAGCUUGCUUCUUGGGUGGCGAGUGGCGAACGGGUGAGUAACGCAUCGGAACGUACCGAGUAGUGGGGGAUAACUGUCCGAAAGGAUGGCUAAUACCGCAUACGCUUUGAGAAGGAAAGCGGGGGAUCUUCGGACCUCGCGCUAUUCGAGCGGCCGAUGUCUGAUUAGCUGGUUGGUGGGGUAAAGGCCUACCAAGGCGACGAUCAGUAGCGGGUCUGAGAGGAUGAUCCGCCACACUGGGACUGAGACACGGCCCAGACUCCUACGGGAGGCAGCAGUGGGGAAUUUUGGACAAUGGGCGCAAGCCUGAUCCAGCCAUGCCGCGUGUCUGAAGAAGGCCUUCGGGUUGUAAAGGACUUUUGUCAGGGAAGAAAAGCUUGAGGCUAAUACCCUUGAGUGAUGACG